Molecule: ribosomal RNA, 2929 nt
Filed under: Escherichia coli
Lineage: Bacteria; Pseudomonadati; Pseudomonadota; Gammaproteobacteria; Enterobacterales; Enterobacteriaceae
Description: 23S ribosomal RNA
Rfam family: Bacterial large subunit ribosomal RNA
Source: RNAcentral
GGGUUGUGAGGUUAAGCGACUAAGCGUACACGGUGGAUGCCCUGGCAGUCAGAGGCGAUGAAGGACGUGCUAAUCUGCGAUAAGCGUCGGUAAGGUGAUAUGAACCGUUAUAACCGGCGAUUUCCGAAUGGGGAAACCCAGUGUGUUUCGACACACUAUCAUUAACUGAAUCCAUAGGUUAAUGAGGCGAACCGGGGGAACUGAAACAUCUAAGUACCCCGAGGAAAAGAAAUCAACCGAGAUUCCCCCAGUAGCGGCGAGCGAACGGGGAGCAGCCCAGAGCCUGAAUCAGUGUGUGUGUUAGUGGAAGCGUCUGGAAAGGCGCGCGAUACAGGGUGACAGCCCCGUACACAAAAAUGCACAUAUUGUGAGCUCGAUGAGUAGGGCGGGACACGUGGUAUCCUGUCUGAAUAUGGGGGGACCAUCCUCCAAGGCUAAAUACUCCUGACUGACCGAUAGUGAACCAGUACCGUGAGGGAAAGGCGAAAAGAACCCCGGCGAGGGGAGUGAAAAAGAACCUGAAACCGUGUACGUACAAGCAGUGGGAGCCUCUUUUAUGGGGUGACUGCGUACCUUUUGUAUAAUGGGUCAGCGACUUAUAUUCUGUAGCAAGGUUAACCGAAUAGGGGAGCCGAAGGGAAACCGAGUCUUAACUGGGCGUUAAGUUGCAGGGUAUAGACCCGAAACCCGGUGAUCUAGCCAUGGGCAGGUUGAAGGUUGGGUAACACUAACUGGAGGACCGAACCGACUAAUGUUGAAAAAUUAGCGGAUGACUUGUGGCUGGGGGUGAAAGGCCAAUCAAACCGGGAGAUAGCUGGUUCUCCCCGAAAGCUAUUUAGGUAGCGCCUCGUGAAUUCAUCUCCGGGGGUAGAGCACUGUUUCGGCAAGGGGGUCAUCCCGACUUACCAACCCGAUGCAAACUGCGAAUACCGGAGAAUGUUAUCACGGGAGACACACGGCGGGUGCUAACGUCCGUCGUGAAGAGGGAAACAACCCAGACCGCCAGCUAAGGUCCCAAAGUCAUGGUUAAGUGGGAAACGAUGUGGGAAGGCCCAGACAGCCAGGAUGUUGGCUUAGAAGCAGCCAUCAUUUAAAGAAAGCGUAAUAGCUCACUGGUCGAGUCGGCCUGCGCGGAAGAUGUAACGGGGCUAAACCAUGCACCGAAGCUGCGGCAGCGACACUGUGUGUUGUUGGGUAGGGGAGCGUUCUGUAAGCCUGUGAAGGUGUGCUGUGAGGCAUGCUGGAGGUAUCAGAAGUGCGAAUGCUGACAUAAGUAACGAUAAAGCGGGUGAAAAGCCCGCUCGCCGGAAGACCAAGGGUUCCUGUCCAACGUUAAUCGGGGCAGGGUGAGUCGACCCCUAAGGCGAGGCCGAAAGGCGUAGUCGAUGGGAAACAGGUUAAUAUUCCUGUACUUGGUGUUACUGCGAAGGGGGGACGGAGAAGGCUAUGUUGGCCGGGCGACGGUUGUCCCGGUUUAAGCGUGUAGGCUGGUUUUCCAGGCAAAUCCGGAAAAUCAAGGCUGAGGCGUGAUGACGAGGCACUACGGUGCUGAAGCAACAAAUGCCCUGCUUCCAGGAAAAGCCUCUAAGCAUCAGGUAACAUCAAAUCGUACCCCAAACCGACACAGGUGGUCAGGUAGAGAAUACCAAGGCGCUUGAGAGAACUCGGGUGAAGGAACUAGGCAAAAUGGUGCCGUAACUUCGGGAGAAGGCACGCUGAUAUGUAGGUGAAGUCCCUCGCGGAUGGAGCUGAAAUCAGUCGAAGAUACCAGCUGGCUGCAACUGUUUAUUAAAAACACAGCACUGUGCAAACACGAAAGUGGACGUAUACGGUGUGACGCCUGCCCGGUGCCGGAAGGUUAAUUGAUGGGGUCAGCGCAAGCGAAGCUCUUGAUCGAAGCCCCGGUAAACGGCGGCCGUAACUAUAACGGUCCUAAGGUAGCGAAAUUCCUUGUCGGGUAAGUUCCGACCUGCACGAAUGGCGUAAUGAUGGCCAGGCUGUCUCCACCCGAGACUCAGUGAAAUUGAACUCGCUGUGAAGAUGCAGUGUACCCGCGGCAAGACGGAAAGACCCCGUGAACCUUUACUAUAGCUUGACACUGAACAUUGAGCCUUGAUGUGUAGGAUAGGUGGGAGGCUUAGAAGUGUGGACGCCAGUCUGCAUGGAGCCGACCUUGAAAUACCACCCUUUAAUGUUUGAUGUUCUAACGUGGACCCGUGAUCCGGGUUGCGGACAGUGUCUGGUGGGUAGUUUGACUGGGGCGGUCUCCUCCUAAAGAGUAACGGAGGAGCACGAAGGUUGGCUAAUCCUGGUCGGACAUCAGGAGGUUAGUGCAAUGGCAUAAGCCAGCUUGACUGCGAGCGUGACGGCGCGAGCAGGUGCGAAAGCAGGUCAUAGUGAUCCGGUGGUUCUGAAUGGAAGGGCCAUCGCUCAACGGAUAAAAGGUACUCCGGGGAUAACAGGCUGAUACCGCCCAAGAGUUCAUAUCGACGGCGGUGUUUGGCACCUCGAUGUCGGCUCAUCACAUCCUGGGGCUGAAGUAGGUCCCAAGGGUAUGGCUGUUCGCCAUUUAAAGUGGUACGCGAGCUGGGUUUAGAACGUCGUGAGACAGUUCGGUCCCUAUCUGCCGUGGGCGCUGGAGAACUGAGGGGGGCUGCUCCUAGUACGAGAGGACCGGAGUGGACGCAUCACUGGUGUUCGGGUUGUCAUGCCAAUGGCACUGCCCGGUAGCUAAAUGCGGAAGAGAUAAGUGCUGAAAGCAUCUAAGCACGAAACUUGCCCCGAGAUGAGUUCUCCCUGACCCUUUAAGGGUCCUGAAGGAACGUUGAAGACGACGACGUUGAUAGGCCGGGUGUGUAAGCGCAGCGAUGCGUUGAGCUAACCGGUACUAAUGAACCGUGAGGCUUAACCUUACAACGCCGAAGCUGUU